CACACAGAGCGAGAGAGAGACUUACUUCCAGUUCUACCAUAAUUCAUCUAAAGCAGGUGCAGCGCCUUUUCCAGAGAGAGCGCUUCGGCCAGGGAAGGAAAGGGAAGGGAUUUUGGGCGGAGUAAGGGCAUCAAAGAGGGGCGAAAAGAAGAAGCCGCGGGGGUUGAAAAGGUGCCCGCCCUGAAACCACUCUCUUCGCAGACAAGACCUCACUUUGCAUGCUGGAAGGAGGGGAGGAAGCCAGGUUUCUGAGAGGGGAUGUCCCUUCUCUGAAACUAUUGUUGUGGUUGGGGUUGUGGUGACUUUUCCGGGCUGUCUGGCCAUGUUCCAGAAGCAUUCUCUCCUGACGUUUCACCCACCUCUAUGGCAGGCGUCCUCAGAGGUGGGGAGGCAUAUUGGAAAACUAAGCAAGGAAGUCGAAGGCUUUCAUGGCCGGAAUCACAGGGUUGCUGUGUUUUCCGGGCAGUAUGGCCAUGUUCCAGAAGCAUUCUCUCCUGACGUUUCACCCACCUCUAUGGCAGGCGUCCUCAGAGGUGGUGAGGCAUAUUGGAAAACUAAGCAAGGAAGAACAAGGCUUUCAUGGCCGGAAUCACAGGGUUGUUGUGUUUACCGGGCAGUGUGGCCCGGUGGCGAAGUGUGUUAAAGCACUGAGCUGCUGAACUUGCAGACCGAAAGGUCCCAGGUUCAAACCCGGGGAGCGGAGUGAGCGCCCGCUGUUAGCUCCAGCUUCUGCCAACCUAGCAGUUCGAAAACAUGUCAAUGUGAGUACCGCUCCGGCGGGAAGGUAACGGCACUCCAUGCAGUCAUGCCGGCCACAUGACCUUGUAGGUGUCUACGGACAACGCCGGCUCUUCGGCUUAGAAAAUGGAGAUGAGCACCAACCCCCAGAGUCAGACGUGACUGGGCUUAACGUUAGGGGAAAACCUUUACCUUUACCUUUUAUGGCCAUGUUCCAGCAGCAUUCUCUCCUGAAGUUUCGUCCACAUCCUCUGAGGCAUCCUCAGAGGUUGUGAGGGCAUACAGCCCGGAAAACACACAACAACCCUAAGCAAGGAAGAUUUAUAUGUCUGUGGAAGGUCCAGGGUGGGAGAAAGAACUCUUGUCUGUUGGAGGCUGGUGUGAAUUUUGUAACUAAUCACUAGCUGUUCUUGUUUUCACUGUUUGGGUCUCUUUCUAGAGCAGGCCUGGGCAAACUUCGUCCCUCCAGGUGUUUUGGACUUCAGCUCCCACCAUUCCUAAAACGAUAGACUGGGUUACUGUGAGUUUUCUGGGCUGUAUGGCCAUGUUCCAGAAGCAUUCUCUCCUGACCUUUCGCCCACAUCUAUGGAAGGCAUCCUCAGAGGUUGAGGUUUGUUGGAAACUAAGCAAGUGGGGUUUAUGUAUCUGUGGAAGGUCCAGGGUGGGAGAAAGAACUCUUGCCUGUUUGAGGCAGGUGUCAAUGUUGCGAUUAAUCACCUUGAUUAUAAUUGAAUAGCCUUACAAUUUCAAAGCCUGGCUGCGUCCUACCUGGGGAAUCCUUUGUUGGGAGGUGUUAGCUGGCCCCAGGACCAUAGCCAGAAAAAAAAUAGGGGUGGGUGAAAUUUUUUUUAGCAAAUCAUGAAGAGUAGUUCCAUAAAGCAAAAUAAUAUAGAAAUCAGGCUCCAUCGAUAAACUUCAGUGGACACUCAUUGGAAUUUGGUUAACUAGUUAAAAUUCAUACGUAAACCAGGUUUUUUUAAAACCUGAAAAUUUUCGGGGGGGGGGGGGUUAACCCCUAACCUCCCUCCCCCCUUGGCUACAGCCAUGGCUGGCCCUGAUGGAUUCAUGUCUGGAAUUCUUCUGUUUUCUGAGUGUUGUUUUUUUAUUUACUGUCCUGAUUUUAGAGGUUUUUUAAAAAUACUGGUAGCCAGAUUUUGUUCAUUUUCAUGGUUUCUUCCUUUCUGUUGAAAUUGUCCACAUGCUUGAAAGCCAUUGAAAUCCACAAGCAUGUGGUGAAUUUCAACAGAAAGGAGGAAACCAUGAAAAUGAACAAAAUCUGGCUAGCAAUAUUAAAAACUGCCGAGGCUGCGAGUUUGAGCAACGAAGUGACCCAUCAACAUUCUCAGAGCAGAGCGCAUUUGGGAGGAGUAAAAUAACAUUUUAGGGUAGACUAUGGGCAGGAUGGGCUGCAAAAUAUUAGAUAUGGGAGUUGUACUGUAUUGAGCCCCCAGUGGCGCAGUGGGUUAAACCGCUGAGCGGCUGAACCUGCUGAUUGGGGAGCAGAGUGAACUCCCACUGUUAGCCCCAGCUUCUGCCAACCUAGCUGUUUGAAAACAUGCAAAUAUGAGUAGAUCAAUAGGUACUGCUCUGGCGGGACGAUAACAGUACUCCAUGCAGUCAUGCUGGUCACAUGAUCUUGGAGGUGUCUAUGGACAACACUGGCUCUUUGGCUUAGAAAUGGAGAUGAGCACCACCCCCCAGAGUCGGACACAACUAGACUUAAUGUCAACUUUACCCUUACUGUUUGGGUCUCUUUCUUGAACAGGCACAGCCAAAUUUCGGCCCUCCAGGUGUUUUGGACUACAACUCCCACGAUUCCUGACAGCUGGUGAGCAUUAUAUCACUGGAUAGAAAGUCGAAUAAAGGGAUAUAUAAGGUGAAGUUUAUGUUCUGGUUAAUAUUGAUAUUGCAUGGCAUUCUUAUAGCUGUGACAGACAUAACCAGCAGGUUAAACCUUGUAUGUGUAAACAGUCUCAUUCAGAACAACUUUGUAGAGAUCCCGCAACACCGCACAAUCUAGUGUCAGACUCAUGCCUAAUAUUGCCCGUGCACAAGCAGUACUUGUGUGAGACACAGGAUGAAAAAUGUGAGAGUUCGCAGCACAUAGACACCAUAUAUUUAGUCAUAUCUCAUUAAAUAAUUUCAUGAAAUGCUGUAUAACCUUUGAUAUGCAAGUGAUGUGGGUCUUUCACUGGGUUCUUUCAUAUUAGUCAUCCUCUAAAGGUAUGAACACUACAACUAUUCCUAACCACAACUGCAAGAUAGAGAUGGAGCACAUCUUUGGGUCUCACCUCCAGGAUAGCUCAUUCUGUAAUCCAAACACCUCAGGAUCCCAUGCGUGAUUUUACUGUCCUUUAAUACCAGUGUAUGAAUUUUAGUAUUACGUUUAAAUAUUAGUUUAACUGUGUUGUACCCCUACAGCAGACAUGUGCAAACUUCAGCCCUUCGGGUGUUUUGUUUUUUUUUUUUAGAUAUCUGUGAACAUUCCUUAAUUUUAACCUAACAGAAAUUAAAUUUCCAAGCAGGUAAAUAUGUUUAAGAUCAGCCUGUUGAACUACAGAAUUUAUUCAAAAAUUCAUGUUAAGAAAACCCAAUAAUAGGUUCACCCUAGGGUCGCCAUAAGUCAAAAAUGACAGAUAUGUUUUUAUUUUUAAAAACAAAAUAUUAAUUUUCUAAAAGAACAACAUGAUUAACGUGAAUAUGUGCAUGUUGAUGCUAGUACCGAUCAAUGUCUUUUACUAAGUACAUUGUUAACAAUGUUUUUGUGAAUGAAAAACCAAUCUGAUUAUUUGUAAAAUCUGAACAUUUACAUAUUACGCAUGUAAAAAUCAUGUAUUUAAUUUUCACCUAACUAAAACUAACUACAUUAGACAAAGGAAAUAACAAAUUCUGUUCUCCGAGUAUGGAAUUCAGCCAAAGCAGUGCAGCAGAAAAGAACAAGAGGGGAAAGAAGACAACAAAACCCAAUGCACAAGUUUUGUUUUUGUUUUUUGUUUUUUAAAUUAAAGCUUGUUUUUCUCUCAUUGUAGAACCUGAGGCAUCUUAAGGCAUGAAAUAAAGCACACUCACUUAUAACACUGAAGAGCAAUUAAAAAUAAAAAGUAAAUAAGUUAAACUAAAACCAGAGACCAAAAUUAUAUAAUAAACGUCGUCAAAACACAAACACUUUUAUUUUUAAAAGUGGAGGCUUUAAAACAGAGGGCGCCUGCUUCUUCAAGACCCUUGGAAGCCAUACUGUGCUGCCGAGGCUGCCAGUUUCAGCAACAGAAGUGACCCAUCAACACUCUCAGAGAGAGAGCAUUUGGGAAGAGUAAAAUAGCAUUUUGGGGUGGAACAUGGCUUCAGAGACUUUGGGCGGGAUUGGCUGCAAAAUAUUACUUUGAGAAAACUAGUGGGCCUUAAAGGAAGAACAUACUUCAUAGAGAUGUGCAUGUGGUCACCCAUUUCACAUUUUGACUCCCAUAUCUGCAGGGAAUAUGUCCACAGACUUUGCGUGGAUAUGUGAAACUGGAGGUCACAGUGAUUCCUUUUGAAAUGGACUUCUAGUCCAAGAACACCAUAAAAUCAUGCUGGACGGCCUAGAAAAUGCCUAAAGAUUACCUGUUUUGUCAGACGUGGAUAAAUGAAACCAUGGGUACCAGUCCCAUAGAUAUGAGAAGUUGUGGAGGGGAUGCACAAAUUGAACUUUUCUCAAGAUAGAUUUUCUUCGUCUAAGUGCAGCCACCAAGAAGGACUUGGUGCCAAGACCUAGGCAGUCUCAUAUGGGGAUGUAAGGACUUUCAGAUAGUCUGGAACUAAGUUGUACAAGCCUCUAUAAACCAGACUCAGCACUUCCUAAUUCCCUGGCAUGGUUUAAAACAUAACAAAAAUGAGAAGAUCAGCACCUACCAUUGAAAGAUCCUUCUGGCCAAGGUUUUCUCCUGACAUUAAGUUGUGUCCGACUCUGGGGGUUGGUGCUCAUCUCCAGUUCUAAGCCAAAGAGCUGGCAUUGUCUGUAUAUGUCUCCAAGGUAAUAUGGCCGGCAUGACUGCAUGGAGCAUUGUUACCUUCCUGCCGGAGUGGUACCUAUUGAUCUACUCACAUUCGCAUGUUUGCAAACUGCUAGGUUGGCAGAAGCUGGGGCGAACAGUAGGAGCUCACCUCACUCCCCAGAUUCAAACCGCCCUUCUUUUGGUCAGCAAAUUCAGCAACUCAGCAGUUUAAUCCUGCACCAUCAGGGGCUAUUUAAAUAAAAAAAGUAUUGCUUGCCAGUAGAAGGCAAAUAAAGAGGGAGCCCUCCCAUGAAUUUCCAUUGCUUCCCAUGGGAAUCCAAUAAUUUAGGAGCAGCCAUCAAGAAGAAUUCCUCAAGUCUGCUCUAAAGGUGCUGGUGAAAGUGAUAGCACUGAAGGAAGAAGCUUCUUGGAGAAGGGAAGACUGAGAGGUGACAUGAUAGCCAUAUUAAAAUAUCUGAAGGGAUGUCUUGUAGAAGAUGGGGCAAGCUUAUUUUCUGUUGUUCCAGAACCUAGAACACAAACCAAUGGGUCCAAAUUAGAAGAAAAGAGUUUCCACCUAAACAUUCAGAAAAAAACUUGCAUUGUAAGAACUACUCAACAGUGGAAUAGACUGCCUUGGAAAAUGGUGGAUUCCUCUUUGGAUAUCUUUAAAUAUAGGCUGGAUGUGCAUCUUUCAGAAGUAUCUUCCUACAUGCCAGGAAGUUAGACUAAAUUCAGGUGAUAUUCCUAAAUAUCGUAGACACAUUAAACCAGUUGCUGAAUUAUGUAAGUACUUACGUAAUUACAAGUGCUUUAGAAGACCUACUUUCCAGCGAAUGAAUUCAGGCCUUGCAAAUUGGUAACAUAUCGUACUUCUUCAAUUGUAAGAUGCACCUUAAUUUCAGUACCAACAACAACAAAAAUACAUAAGAUACAGAUGCGAUUCUAAGAUGCAGCCCAUUUUAGGGAUUUUAUCUAGGGAAAAAGUGAGUCUUAACAUUGGAAGAAAUAUAGUAGUUACUAGUUACUUUUUUGUUUAAGUGUAAUGAAUAACAUUUAUGCAUUGCUUCUGGAAAGCUGCUCUGGGGAGUUUAUUUGGGGAGUAUUUUUAUCCUCUUUGUAAGUUUAAAAGCAACUUAAAAGUAAUACAAUGAGCAACAUUAAUUAGGCUUUUUUGUUAAAUCACUGUGGAAUAGUAGCAAGUUUUAAAAAGAAUGUUCCAAACUCUGGCAAAAUGAAUGUGUGCAUAAUAUGUGUAAGACAAAAAAAUUGGUGCAAGGCCUUAUUGCAAGAAUGAAACUCCAGCAUACGUAAUAAUCCAAUUAAGUUAUGAAUUAGUGCAGUUUAGUGGUCAAAUUUGCAUUGUUCAGGAAAUAUUUAAUGUAGUCUUUGUGGGAUUUCAGUGAGUCAUUUAGUCACCCUUUUUCUUUCUGACUAAACCAUUAUUUACGUCAUUAAUUUUAAUAAAUCCAUCCUGAUCCUAACCAUGUUUACUUAGAAUUAAGUUCUUUUCAGUUCAGUUUUGCUUACUAUCUUAUGGCUUCAAUCCUAUCUUUCUUUACCUGGAAGUCGGUAGACACAUACUUUAUUGGAGGCUCAGUACUGCACAAUGCUUUUCUAACAUAAUUCUUUAAAAACCAUGAUCCAAGUUGAUUUAGAGCACAUAUAGGCUAAGUCCAAUUACUAGUCCCAACUAGAGCAAAUACUUUGAAACAAUGAGGUUUACCCAAGUCUUGUCUUACCAUUUAGAAACUGAUUUAAUGGAUUUACAUGUAUUGGAAUUUGAGGUUUCAUUUAGAUCUUUACAUUUUAUAUAUGCAUUAUUUUUAAAAAAUCAUGUUCUUGCUCUCUUUUAAAUAGAAAGGAUUCAAUAUUGUUCAGGCCCUUUUUUAAAACUUCCAAGGAAAAAGACCCCACUACCUCUCUAGGCAAUUGGUUUCAUUGCUAAAAUGCACUUAUUGUCAAGAGGCUCCUACCAAUGUUCAAUCAAUAUCCACUCUCCUAUAAACAGACUUGCCCCUUUCCUCUUUGUGACAUGUCCAACAUCUUCUGACUUGUCUCGUAUAUUUUGUUCUCCAUACCUUUAUCAUCCUUAUUGCCUUUCUCUGAACCUGCUCCAACUAGUGUAUAGUCUUCCUAAAAUGAAGCACCCAGAACUGAAUGCAGGACUCCAGGGAGACCAGAGCAUCACAGAAUAUAGUGAGACUAUUACUUCAAUUGACUGGCUUCUAUUAAUGUAGGCUAAAACACCAUUCACUUUCUUUCCUGCAGCAUCACACUACUGAGUCAUGUUCAGUUUAUGAUCAAUAAUAAUUCUAAAGUCCUUUUCACAAAUAGUACUGCGGAGACAGGUAUGCCCAUCCUAUAUCUGAGCAUUUGGUUUUCUGGUCUAAAUGUAGAAGUUUGCAUUUAUCUCUGUUGAAUUCCAUUUUAUUGAUUUCUGCUCAAUUUUCUAAUUUAACCAUGUCCUUUUGAAUUCUGUUCCUGUCUUCAAAUGUGUUAGCCAUCCCUCCCAAUUUUAGAUAAUCUGAAAAUUUGAUAAGGAUUCCUGCAGCACUCCACUCAAAACCACCUGAUGACUCUUUGAACAUGUUUUCUAAUCAAUUAUGGAUAGAAUCUGACAGGGUUUCUUUUUAUUCCAUGAUUAAUCAGUUUGUUGAAAAUAGUAUUAUGGGGAACUUUAUCAAACGCUUUGCAGACAAGCAGAUAAAAAUAUUCAUAGCAUUCCCACCAUCUACUAAACCAGAGGUGAAAAAAGAUAUAAGUUUAAUUUGGCAGGAUUUGUUUUUGACAAACCCAUGCAAGCUCCUAUUGAUCACUGCAUUGACACCAAGAUACUUGCAGACAGAUUCAUGUGUAAUAAAUUCUGAGCCCCUCACCAUGUAUUGUGGUCAUGUUGAGUUGCCUUUAGUUUCCUAGCUCUUUUUUUUUUUGCUUUUUUAAAAGGAGGAACAGUUUGUGCCCUUCUCCAGUCCUCUAGCACCACACUUGUCAUUGCCUUCUUCAAUUUGCAUUUUUUUCAGCUAUUUCCCAUUUUCUUUCUCCAUCUCAUGACCACUUUCCCCUAAAAGUACUGAUUACCCUUAUUCAGUGACCAGCUUCUCCUUAUUGGUUAGGAUCAAGUCCAGGAUUGUUGAUUGCUAUCUUUAAAACUCUCUUGUUCAGACUUGCCAUGCCACUACCAAAUAUAUUUUCCCCAUCAUUGUGAGGUGCAGCCUAUCUAUAGCCAGUAGCAAAUACCAGAGAAAAUUGAAAUUCAAUUAUUUUUCCUUGCACAUAACAACAACAAUAACCUUUGUUUAUAUCCUUCCCCAUCUCCCCAUGAUAUUGAAAUCAGCUCCAGAGGUUCAGGUUUAGUUGAUGCUGGUAUUUUGCAGCCAAGGUGAAGCAGUAGAAAAGGCCCAAUUCCUAAUAGUGUGCCAUCUGAAAUCCAAGAACAGACGGCAGAACAUCAAGGGGGGGGGGGGGGGAGAGAGAGAAUUAUGUAUAACGGAAUAUUUCAGCAUUCUUACUUAUCAUGUAAACCACUCCUGUUGAAAACUAUUAAAAGAGUAAGACCCCAAUUUUUUUAACAUGAUCAUUUUACAGGGGACAUUACAACAGGGCCUCCACUGAAGAUUUAAGCAAAAUAACAUGCUUACUAGGAUGAAGUACAAUGCUAGGCAUGCCCACUCAGGAGUACGUUUCACUGAUUUCAAUACAGAAGAGAUGAGAAUCAAGAGGGUGACCAGGUGUUGGAUUACAGGUCCUAGCAGCCUAACCUGCAUGGGCAAUGAUGAUGAAUUCUGGGAACUGAAGUCUAACAACAUAUGCAGGGUCUAUGUGAGUCCCAUCCCUGCAGUAGAAUAUGUAUGUGGCUUCAACCUCAGAUUACCCAGGUUUGGGAUUGUGUUGCACAGAUGUGUUUAGAGAGCACAUGUGCUUCUAUCACAUUUUAAGCCUUUUCUCUGCUACUUAUCAGGACUCAAAACAAUUUUAAAUUACUUUGUGUGAAAGAAACACAUGGAUGUUGUAGUUGUUAUUAAAUAAAGUCCUUGUUCCACUAUGUCUUUAAUCUUAAGUAUUUUUAAUGAAGGGGUAAGGUCAGCUACAAUUAACUGAGGUUAUGUUAGAACAGGAUUGGGCUUUAGAAGAAAUUCCCACUAAUCUCUAAAACAUAUUUCCAGGUAAGCAUGCUUAGCUUUGCAAUCUGAAAUUACCGAAGCUACAUGCUUACUAUGGAAGCAGCAUACUAUGUGAAAAUGAAGUCAGAACAGACAGCUGUAUGAUUGGUCAGAAUGCAUAUUAUACUGGAAUUGUUGGCCACUGUUAAGAAUUUUUGACUUUUAUGCCUGCUAAGAAACUCCUAUGUUCUCAAAGCCUGCCAUUACUGGUUGCAAAGUCAAAAUUUCUGACGAUUUUAAUAAGCCUAGUCUGAAGUUUAUGAAUAUACAAUAAAAAAACUUCUGACAAGAAUUGCAUUAACUGCAGAGGAUUUCCAUUUGCACAAACAUUCAGAACUUGGAAAAGUUACAUUAUUCUAUAGUGCAUAUAAAAAUGGGGGUGAGCAAGGAGGUGUCACUGGUAUAGGGGAGCCAAGCAGAAGUGUUGGUUCCAAUACUUACAAUAAAAGUAUCUGAUACAUAAUACUCCUGAACCAGACAAUGUAGUCGCUAUGGCAUUGCCGCUUGAAAAACUAUAAGCAUACAGUAUAUCCAAGUUUCAGCCAUUUGCAUUGUAUAAUUUUUUUUGUUUUUGAAUUAUAAAACGGGCUAGGACAGAAACUGAUGGCAUUUUGUCACUGGGGUACCCAUACCACCCAACAUUUCAUGAAUGAAACCAGGACACAAGUGGUCAAACAACAUCACAAUGUGGUAAAGAUGAUAGAAGUUAUUAUUGAGGCUAGGAGUGGCUGCGGCAGUUUGCUUUUUCCUGAGUCUACAGAGAAGGGCAAGAUUCUGCCGUACCUCUCCUGCUAUUGAUCUAAUUGAAGGCAAAUUACCUUUUCACUUUGAACUCAGUUUGCAACAAUGGAAAUAAGCUGGAGACAAUGGAGCAAGGUGGGAGGAAGAGAGAAAAACUGGAACAUUAAAAAAAUGGGAUAGCACAGGACUAAACAGUACUGUCCCUGCCAAAUUGGCAUAGUUGGAGGAUUUGAGUAUAUUGAGGCAAAAUGCAAAAUGGCACAAUCAGAUUAUCACUAGGGAAGCCUCCUUUUAAGGAAGAGGCACUGGAAUUCUCAGUGAAUUCAAGAAAUACAUAAAGUAUGCAUUUAAACUCUACUUAUAAUCCUAACAUAAACCUUACUAGUAACCCUCAAUACAAUCGGAUUUUCAGUGAGUCCAUAACUAGCCCAUAGCUCGCUCCCUAUACCCAAGCUUAUUUUAUCUUUGUACAAGUUGUAUAUAUGCCAUUAUUCACUUCCCCUUGCAGCAAAGAAUAAAAUUGUUGGCUAUAACUGGCUAUAGUAACUGUUUAUUCAACACCUGUGCAACAACAUGCUGUACUGCACUUACAUCACAUGUCCCCCUGGCACAUAAUAUUUUCACAGGUACAAAAUUACUGUUAUUUGAGUGCCAUAUAUGCAAUAUAGCAACAAAAAAGUGAAGCCUCGAGAGAGGUAUGCAGGCUUGACGAUAUAAAUAAGGAACAAAUGCACAUUUACUGCAUAAAAGCAAUUGGAGCAGAAAGGACCUUAGACCCCAAUGCUGCAAAUAUUUGCACAUUGCUGGGCACAUCAAAGUAAAUGGUGCUAAACAUGCACUGCCAAAGUUCUCAAGUAUUCAAGAGGAAAGAGCAAGUGCCUUCUUUAAUAUAGCACACUUUCCCCAAAAGAUAAAAUCUGUUGUAUUGUAAAUGUUUUCCAUUAGAAAAAAAUUAAGACAAAUACAAAACAGGACCAUGUAAUUAUGAUCUUAGGUUUAACCCUCAUACCCAAUUGCCGUAAGGAAGCCCCUUUGAAACCUGAUGGGAUUUACUUUUGAGUGGACACAUACAGGAUUGCUCUAUCCCUUUUUAUACACAUAGCAAACCAACUUUUUAAAGGGGAACUACAAAUACAACUUUUAUGUUUGAAAAAUAUCCAUUUACCUUAGAAUUCAAGUUGAAGCAUCAACAUUUCCCACCAAUAUUUUAUGUUUGUAGUGACUCCUUGGAUUACAAGAGAAUAGCAAUAUGUUGCCCAGUACACCAGAAGUACAUUAACAGAGACCACACUUCAAAGUUGUUGGUGUUUUUUGUUUUUUUUUGGGGGGGGGGGCAACUAAUCCUAUUUCCAGAAAUGUUGUCAUUAUAGUUUACCACUUCAGCAUUGUAUUUCUAGAUCAGUAUCUAUCAAAAGAGAUUGGGGAAACUGAGGGCAAACCAGAAGUAGACAGCAUGAAGAUUUACAUUACAGGAGAAAACACAUCUGGGGAGGGGUGUGAGGAGGUUGACACAUCCAAAUGUAAUAUCACAACUCACAUCACAAGCAAAAUGAACCAAAAUGUGCUGCCAUUUGGUUGAAUUUCUAAAGUGCCAGGACAGCAUUUAGACAAGGUAAGAAUAUUACAUAGAUUACCAGUUGGGAUGAGUCCAAUGUUUAAUCAUAGAGGAACAUUACUACCUCAAAAUAUUGCUUUAUUAUAUAGUUAUUUUCCUAAGUGCAUGCGCUGACUCGUUCUUUCACAAGAUUACAAACUCGGCAAAUAAUGGACAAAGGAAAAGCAUCAAGGAAGGAUCAUGUAGUCUUUUUUUGUUUUCUUAGAAUCUAACCACAUAGGCCACCUCUUUUCUCUUCCUCUUCUGUUUCAAGUUUCCUCUUUAUCAUGCCAAAGUUUACAAACUUUAUAACACCAGUUUGGUUAGGGUAAUGAAGCUGCAAAAUGUGGAAGGCGGGGGAGAGAGAUGAAGCAACUUAAUGCUAAAAAUAGUAUAUCUUUAAAAAUAUUGUGUCUCCUUAUGUAAGUCAGCACAAGACUUGAGAGCUGCAGGAGAGGGCUUUCUCUUGGUCCUACCGCCUCUGCAGGCACAGUUCAUGAGGUCUUGGGAGAGAGCCUCCACUGUGGCUGCUCCCAGACUGGAAUUCCUUCCAUCUGAGAUCCAGUUGUUCUUCUCCAUGCCUUCUUUCCACUGGCAGGUGAAGAUGUUUUUAUUCAGACUGACUUUUGAAUUUUAAAUACGGAGCGCUUGUUCUGUCACGCGCUGGGCCUGUGACUGACUGUCUGUUAUGUAGGACGUACGCUUUACGCCCAGCGGAAAGCCAGGGGCCUAAAGAAGGGUCGUCGAGGAAUUUUCCUGAAAAGAUGGCCUUGAAGUCUUUAAAGAAAUAACAAAGUCUUUAUUGACGAACAAAUAAUAAAUCUUCAAGGAGUCUUGUCCCACAGGACAGGCUAUAGGCUUUGAAUAACUGUGAAAACCCUCUUAUAACCCCUCCCAGGCUAUCUGUUAUCUGGGCCUAGCUAGUCUGGGACCCACUGCCAACUCCAAGUGCGUCUGGUUGUUGAGUGGACCUACCAGCCAAUGGCUUGCAGAUGUUUCUGUGCUGUUGUUCUGUAUCCCUGGACAGUCAAUAUCCCUGGGGUUCUUUAACCUUGGUGCUUUUUAUCCCCGGUGGUCUUUAUCCCUGGAGGUCCUUUAUCCCCGGUAGUCUUUAUCCCUGGUAUUCUUGAAAUAGGAAGCCUUUUACGGGACGAGCUGGUUUAUGUCCUACAGCUGAGCUUCCUAAGAGAGACUAACUUAAAAAUGGCUCCUUCCCUCCCAGAGCCCUGAACAGGGGGCGGAACCAAACUUAAUGGUGAUUGACAGGUGGCCUGUCCUAUGGCUGCAAACAUUUGCAGCAAGAAAGUAAAAUAGAAGGUUCUGGUACAGCUGUACCAGCACAGCGCUAGUGUGUGCAUAAAGGGGCCUGCUGUAUUGUUUAAGGUUGGAUUGAAAAUACAUUUUAAUAAUGUUUUUUACAUUUUAUACAUUAUUACAUUUGCUAGAUUAAAAAUUUUUUAAGGCACUUUGAAUACAUUUUGGGAGGAAGUUGGGAUAUACAUUUAAUCGAUCAAUAAUAUAUUCUCCAACAUUUCAUGAACGAAAACUGGGACACAUGUGGCGAAGUGACAUCACAAUGUCAAGAUGAUAACAGUUAAUCAUAAAGAUGAAUAUACAGUCCAGAAGGGGCUGUAGCAGUUAGCUUUUGCCAAAAUCUGCUAAGAAAAGAAAAGUUUCACCCCAUUCAUGUGUUGAGUGUGAACUACUUUCUCACUUUGAACUAAAUUUGCAGCAAGUUGUUGUAUUUAUUUAUACUUUCAUCUGUGUUUGACACACAAAGUUAACUGAGGGUGAAGAUGGGAUGCGAGUGGUGGAGGAAAUCUGGGACAUUUUAAAAGAAACGGAGAAAGUGAGAUCGCAAAGGAUUAAACAGGACUGUCCCUACCAAACUGGGACUGUUGGAGGGUAUGCCAUGGCAACUUCCUGGGGCUCAUAGUUUGGUAGAGCACUAGAAUUCGCUGGCUAAGAAUUCUGUAUAUUCCUCCCUAGACUGCAAAUUCCAGAAUUCCAUGACAUGUUUCCAUGGCAGUGAAUAUGGAAUCACAAUACUAUUGUUGUGUUGUCUGAAAAGCCCUUUCUCCUGAGCCUCACCUGAACCUUGACAUUCCCCCAGCAACGAGGGAGUUCCUCUGGGCAGCUAAGCCAGGAAAUCCCAGCUGAAUCCCCCUCCCUCCAUGAAGGUCUGCCUCCAGGGGCAAACCAAGAAUGGGAAACUUGGAAGUCCCUGAACAGACUCAGAAGUGGAGUGGGCAGAUGAAAAGACAACCUGGCAAAAUGGCACUACCUAAAAGAAUCCUCUACCUUGUGCGACUGUGGAGCAGAACAGACAACUCCGCAUCUGUAUGCUUGUCCACAAUGCCCUGCCUCAUAUACAGAGGAAGAAUUGUUUGUGGAUACAGACAAUUCAAUAGCUGUUGACCGUUUUUGGUCAAAAUAUAUUUAACCACUUGUGCUCCUUCUAUCUGUAUCUGUUUUACACUAAUUUAUGCAAUGCUUUUGAUACAAAAUAAAUAAACCUGAGCCUCACACUGUGCUUUCAAUUUGGUGAUAAGCAAAUUCUAUGUUCCAGCAUUAAGUCAGGGGUGAAGGAAGGGAAUACAAAAUUACCUGCUUUGCUGGCCAGCAACCUCUUGAACAAUAGGCCAAAGAUGACCAUAGGAAGCCCUGACCACAAGUUUUCAUGAUAGAUUCAUCAUUUGAUUUGAAUCAAAUAGGAUUUAGUGCUGUUUCUCUUUGUGUUAGGCCUUGCCCCCACUCUCUCAGAACAGCAAGACCUAACAGAUAAACAAUAUAAAUAUUACAUUUUGAGCCAAGUUACUGGCACAAAAAUGUUCAAAAUACUACUCGUCAUGUUUUUGUUUUGUUUUGCUGUUUUAACAAGUUUCCCCCCUUCCAACUGUAGACAAUCACCAGUUUAGAAAACAGUACAGUAAAGACACCCUGAACCUAUUCCAAAAUAAUGUUUUGCUUAUGCCCCAGUGAAAUCUAAGACUGAUUACACAGAUCCGUCCCAUUGCUUUCAAUCUUGGGUAACAUUGUUGGGUUUACAUCUGAGUAAACAUAUUUGUUACUGGACUAUAGUGGGCCCUUUGGAUAUAUACAGGGUUGGUCUGGGACCCAGAAAAUGCCAAAAAAAGAAAAGAAAGAAAAAAAAAAGAAAAAGGGAAGAAAGAAAAGCAUAUGAUCACAUCCCAUUUAUUGAAUGACAGAGGCACGCAUGCGGACACCGGUGCUUUCAUGUCACUGCCAUUUUAUGUAUAGGACAUGAUGAUCCAUGGCCAGUGGAAAUCACUGAUCUGAAGAGUCAGCAGGACGACUACUUGUCAUUAUCUACCAAACCAUUAUAGUUUUUACCCUCCUUUCAGUCUCUCUGUCCUUAUAUCUCACAUCACCCCCUUUGAACUUUACUCAUCCAGUUCUACCACUUGCAGCUGUCUUAAGGGGCCUAUUCUCACUACAUAGUUAUAGCACUUUGAUCCCACUUAAGUGCUUGCCUUUGCCUUCCUCUGAGAGAGUGUGGCUUUCCCAAACUUGCCUGGUAGAUUUCCAUGGCUGAGCAGAGAUUCGAAUCCCAGAGUUAUACUCUCCUAGACCAGUGGCCUACUCCAAGUUACCCCUUGGAGUAGGUUGGACCUAAUUUAAAAUCAAACCAGUUGUGAAACCAACAUUUGUUUACACUUUUUCUAACAGUUUUUUUGGUUUAAGCCCUUUAGUCAUAUACCAAAUCUUUUAAGCUUUUGUUCCAUGCAAAUGUGUUAAUUUCAUGGAUUUAACAUAGCAGGAUCAAUACACUGGAAACUUUGAGGGGAGAUUGUGUAUGUAAGAAAAAUUUAAAUAGUUUAGAAUCAGUGCACAACAAAAGCAGGAUGCAGCAUUAUCUGAUUAAGAACCGGACUUUGCAGAAUGCUGGGAAAAGGAAAUGUCUUUUUUGGACCUCCAAACCAGAGAAAUGAUGUUCUUGAUGCAUGGCUUCUGGCUCCAACCUUCCCUGGCUAGAGGGUUGCGAAAUCUUUUCUCCAGCUUAAGACAAACUGGUCAGGUGGGUGGCCACAGAGCUCUCACUUGGCUAUUACAUUGCAGUUGUGUAAGACAGUGGAAUGAUGUGAUACAUUUACUGAAAGUGAUGAGAAAUAUCCUGGCUCUGCAUUUAAAAACAACAUUCCCCGCUCAACACUGGGUUAAAAGCCAACCCACUACCCUUAGUCAACAAGAAACUGCAUCAUGUUUUCCCAAAGAAAUAUCCACAAGGGAAUGUGGUCCUCCUCACUGGCGCAUGAGAAUCAUUCAUCUUAGAUUUCCAGAAAAUUGUGAUCCAUAUGCAGGGAAAUAAAUGGGAAUGUAGCACAAAAGGGUAGAUUUAAAAGCAUUUGAACACUGGAAACCUUUAAGUUGACAUCACUGCAUCUAGUUUUCCAACAUCCAGGACGACUUGGAGAAAAGUCCAAAACCAGGGAACAUUUGAAAAUCUAUUUUCCUACUUUUAAAAAAGGAUUCUGCACAUGAUUAAUAAACAAUACAAUAAAUAUGCAGAUACGACACUCUGCUUGUAUUGGAUGGUUGCUACCUAUGUUAGAAGGUAUGUAUUAUUACGACAUUAUUACGACACAAUUUCUUCUCCUAGUCAUUGUGGGGAAUGAGCUAAUGCACUGUUGACCACAGGUCAACACCAGUAUUACUAAUUUUCUGUAAGUUAAGAAUAAAAAGCUUGGAAUUUUUUUAAAUCAAGCAGAAAGGGUUUGGGUGAAUUUUUCCUGCUCCUGACUAUUCUGUCCCAAAGGACUUCUGGCCAAUUACAGGCUAUUUUCACAGGGAAGACUAGUUUUUGGAGAAAAGCUGUGGAUAGGAGGAAUACUGUACAUCAUUCCCUGCAUUUUGAUUCCCCUUCCUGCUUCUUUUCACCUGGGAAUCUCUCGUUCCAGAUGGGGUUCACUCAGCAGGGAGCUUGCAUCACGUCUCUGAAACCUCAGACGAAAAGGAGAAAAACUAUGGGCUCUGAGGCUGUGUUUGAGCACGAGAGAACAAUGUAAUUCCAGACCGAUGAACAGCUGACCUGUGCGUAUUGCUUGCUUCGUGCCAGGUGGAAAAAGACCAAGGCUGUAGUACCACCCGCCCAGAGCCAUGAACACUUUACCACUCACUUCUUUAGACACAGCAGGUCUGGGUUUCAUUUUUCAUUUAUCUGCUUUUCAAAUAAUGUUACUCAUACAGAUCAGGCUGUCUGUACACACCACUCAUGGUGCUUGUCUGCAUUGUUUCCUUAGAUUUAGAUUCUUCUCUCCUUACUGUUUCAGAGUCAGCUGUGAGUAAUCCUUUUGAAAUUGAUGGGACAACACAGAGACAUAAUAAUACCGUGUAAUAAUACUCUUCACUCUGAAGUUUCAAGUUUCUCUUGUUGUUUUUAUUGUGCCCCUAGGAUCCAGUCUUUUUCUGGCUGGAGCUCCUGAAAAUCUGCAUCAGACCAUUGUUUUUAUUCCAAAAUCUACAUCAGACAAUUUCAGCUUGCAGCUCAGUUCUCUGAUUCAUUAAUUGCUCUGAAUUUUGUUUUAAUGGGAUCCAAGCUAUUAGUAAGGGCAGAAUCUGAAAUUUUGUUUCCUUCUGUUUCUCUCCUUUUUCUUAAUGUUUCUAUAGCUUCUUCUUUUGGUUCUUCUUUUACUCCUAUUUUUUUUUCUUUCAUCCCCACAUUACCUUUCUGUUUUGUACACCAUUUACCAUUUUGUUGCUGCUUUUAUGCCAGUUCAGAUACUAUAUUUCGGGAUCUAGCUCUCUAACUGAUGAGCAUUACCAUACUCCACAUCACAGAGAAGUUGAGUGGGUUCUCUUUUUCUGCAAUAGCAAUGUAAGCCCCACAGUAAAUAUAUCAUUAGACUCUUCCAUUUCCUUUCUGCUUUCCUCUUUGUUUCUUGUAAUUUGCGUUUAUGAGAAGGCGGUCAUCGUCCGGGAUGUAAAACCUCAAUAAUCAUUAGGCAUACAGGUUGUACAGCGGAGGGAGAGAGAAAUCUUUGUGUCACCCAGGGGUCUUGAAUGGUCGCUCUGAAGGUCACCUGACAAGGUCUGAGGCGUGAAUUACCAUGUUUGUAAUGCUAGGGCACAAUCUUCUGUUUUAAGUGCGUGCUUUGGAGAACUCCCCAGAAAAGCAUUUGGGACACAGCCUGUUCCUUUCUCCAUGCAAAACUGCAGAAGAUCAAUGAAUAUUUUAACAAAGAAGUAUUUCAUUAAAAGGGCUGAUUGCUUAAUGAAGUGUCCCUGUGAGCCAUCAAAAUGCAAUGGUUUUUUCCCCCUCUCCUUUUAACGAAAGCAAAGAUUCAUAUCACGAAGAACUGGCUUAUCAAAUUACCGUAAUAGCUUGAGUAGCAUAUGCACUCUUCAAAAAUUGCUCAAGAUAAAGAGGCACCUAGAAGUGUUUCACACAGCACAGUGAAGUACAACUUAUUCCUUUAUACCUCCUGCAUAACGGUAUGAUUAGAGAUGUUAAAUUUCCAGUAAUUUCAGAACUAUGGUGUUUGUUUGUUUUUUAAUAAUAAUCCUGGUGAUUCCUGCCUCCUCGCCGCCACCACCCCAGAAAAAAAAUUCAGCCUUUGCAGAUUGAACAUCAAUUUAUUAAUUUGGGUACAUAAAACACAUUAUAUAUAACUUAGUUUGGUUCUCAAAUAUAAUGAUCAAUAUAUUAAAAUAAAGUUUGCUCAAAAUAUAAUUACAAAUUGAACUUCAUUUUUAAAACUCUUACCAAUGGAAAUACAAGGUCCUGAACCAUGAGGACUAUAAGAAACCUCCUUAGUUUUGUCAGUUGAGCAGUAAGCAGCAAUAAAGUCCAAUAAAACCAGAAGAAAAUAUCAAGAGUAGUAAAAAGAGGGGAUUGUUUUGUUAUCACUAGGCCUCCAUAGUGUCAAACAAUGCAUUUGUUCCCAUAAAAAGAAAAGAGGCAGGAAAACCAAGACAAGGAAUUAUACUGAUUUGAUACUGUACAUAAAAAUUUCUUACAUAAUCUUUAGAAAUUAUUUUGGGUCUAUAAAUAGGUGAAUACUUUGUCUUCCUUCCACAUCUCUAGGUUCUCCAGUUCAUCAGAGGUUGACCAUAGAAUCCCAUUGGAGAACCAACAAAUGCCUAGAAAAGAUUUCUGUGUAGGAAUCUCUAAGCCAUGUCAAAACAUUUGAAUAUUCAAUGUAGGUUUUUAUAUAGGACUGAACUCUGAACUGGGUUUAGUCCUUUUGAUUCUGGAUUCAGUCCAGAAAUAGCACAAUAACCAGGAACAUGUAAGGUCUCUAUAUGCUGGAAGAAGGGUAUAUUUUUAGGUAUAUUUUUUACCCAGAAAUAAAAUAAUAAAAAAACUGCCAUCUGUUUCAAAAAUACCACAGAUCAUCUGUGAUUUUUAUUUGACAAGUAUUUAAUAAUAAUCUCUCAUGAUCAGCUGUCAGCUGUCUUAAAUAUGAUUUAUACCUUCUCUCCUUUCUCUGCUUGAUUAGAAAGGGCUCUGGUGGUAUAGUCCUCUAAAUGCCGCUGCACUGCAUCCUUGAUUCAUCUGACCAGGGUUUCAUGUCAAGCUUCAUACAACCUCCCCAAAUCAUGCAGUUUUUUGUCUAAGGGCACAUCUUGAAGUUUGGCAUCACUUCAGCUGCCAUGGCUCAAUGCUAUGGAAUCCUGGCAGUUGUAAUUUUACAAGGCCUUUCACCUUCUCCCUCACCAAACUACAAUUCCCAGGAUUCCAUAGCAUUGGGCCAUGGCAGUCAGAGCUGUGUCAAACUGUAUUAGUUCUACAGUAUAAAUGCGCCCUCAGUAACAACAGCAAAAUCCUGCAAACAAUUGUAAAACCUGGCCUUCAGGUCAUUUGCAACUUGGAUAGAGCUGUAUUUAGGACUGUUUGAGGAACACUGCCAAAAAUGAGAUUUUCUCUACAAAACAUUUGUAAAAUUUGGCAUAGGUUUGUAGGAGAUCCCAAAUAGAGUUCAUAGUUAAUAAAGCAGCAGCAUUUAAAGAAGAUAGUAUCUAACUGAAUAGAUGUUUUCUCAUAUCACUUGUUUAUACUGACAAAUUCUGUAAUUUGAGCUGCAAAUUCAGAAAGCUGUUUUUUAUUUUGGUUUUAGUUGCACUAAAGUAAAUUCUAAGUUGUUUUAAUAAAAUACGUGACUCAGAACCUCAAACAGCUACCCUUACAGCUCAUGUUGAAUCCUAAGGACUGUGUAAUACAGUUUUAUGACAUGAAAAUUAGCAUAGGUAUUUUAUGAGAGCCAGAUCUGUGCCCUGAUUGGUAGGAAACUUAGUUUAUUAAAACCUAGAAUUCAAUGAUAACCUGACAAGAAGGAACAAAGUUUCUAUCAAUUAGUAUGAAGCCUUGCUUUGUUUUUGAGCAAUUUUGAUAAAGUUAGAGGCUUCUGAUUGGUUGGUCUCAGAUGAAAGCUCAUUAAAUGUACAGAAAGAGAAUGUUAACUGUUGUAACUGCCACAAAUAUGGGAAACUAGAGAUGAGGAAGGGUAUCAUUACAGCAACUCCUAGCAACAUAACAAAGUGGGAUUGGGACUACUGUAAAUCUAGCAGGCUGAAGAACAAUCUAAACUGGCAGAACUCUUCCUGCCUUGCACUGAAGCAGAGUGACUUUUAAGAAGAAGGAACAUAAUGUCAUGCUGUGCCCAUCUAUAAAUGAGCAGCGCUAGAAUGAUGUUCUAGGACCAGGACAUCUUCCCUUUCCCCAAAUGCAAAAACUUGAUUGAAAAGCAAGAACAAUUAUUUCAAAGCUCAUUAGACAUCAUUUGCAAAGAGUAUUAUUUCAUUAGAAGUUAAGAUUAUUUUUCAAAGAGCUAAAUUAUACACUAUUUUAAAUAUGUUGCAUGUAACUAAAGAUUUCUUCUUUAUUCACAAGUAAGCUCAUGGGGACAAUCCAAGAUACAGCAACCCAGAAAAAUGGUUGUGAGGUGUAAAUUUUCCUUCCAGCUUUGUUGCUGCUGAUGCUGUUGCUGCUGGCAUUCAAGCUGUUGCCAACCUAUGGUGACCCUAGGGUGACCCUCUUACAGAGUUUGUAAGGCUGCAAGUAUGUAAGUCACUCAAGGUCUCCCAGUGGGUUUCCAUGGCUGAGCAGGGAACUGAACUCAGGCCUCCAGAGUCCAAUACUCAAACCACUACACCACAGUGGUCUUGCCUCUUCAUAAAUGCAGUUGGGGUUUGCAAAGAAGGUGGAAACUCCAUUGCUGCCACUGAUGUUUAGAAGGUCUGUGGCAGAAUAGGAAGCAAACUAUUAACUCUGAAGUUAGUUUUCAUACCUUUUUAUACCUUGGGUGGUGUACCUUGGGACUAAAAAAACUGUACACAAAUUUUCUGUGCUUCAGUGUUUCUGUAAUAAUGUACAUUUAGGGACACAAAAGUGUCACUAAAUAAGGUGGGGGUUUUGCUUACAGUAACAGCACUUUGCUGAGAAAAAAGCAAUUUAUUUACCUUCUAUGCAGUAGUAAUUAUGUGGCUUCAAGUUAACGCCAAUGUAGGUCAGCUCUUUUCUAGGGUUUCCUUAGCAAGAUGUCCUUAGAGGGAUUUACUGUUGCCUUCCUCUCAGGAUGGGAGCGCAACUUGCCAUGGCCACUCAUUGGUUUCCAUGCCUCAGCGGGUAUUCAGUCUCUGGUCUUGUGUAGCGCUAGUCCAGCACUCAAACCACUACACCACUAUUUAGUGAGCCACUUAUAAUAAAUUUUGUAUCUUCUGUAUUCUUCUUCAAAAUAGAUCUUUGUUUUUCUAAGGAUAGAGACUGAAUAACAAGCUGAGAUCAACCAGAGAAGAUUUCCUGGGCAUAAAAAAGCAGUGAUGGGAACCAUUUUAUUUCUUGACCUUUGCCUGCUGCCUGCUGUGGCAACAAGAAAAAAGACCCUCACAAAGCAACUCACCAUAAAAAGGCAGACAGGCUAUAUUUUGAGCUCAGGUGCUCCUAAACCAAAUUUUGGAGGUGCAGAUCAAGCUGUGGUUACAAAGAUGACAAGAGCAGACCAUUUUUGUUCUUUCCUCAUCACUUUCAAAACCUACAUGGAAUUGCAUUCUCAACCACACUGCAGCUGCAAUCCUGAAACAAUCAUUUUUCUGUUCUGGAAGAUUUCCUCACCCCCACCAAAAGGAUUAAUAAUGAACCAGGAUAUCUCCAGAUUUGUUUGUCAUUCUACUGUUAAUGUGCAAUUCUAUGGCAAUAAUGCCAUUGUUGUUAUCCGUCUUAAAUGUCAAUCAGCUGUAGCUUCACUCAUUAGCUAAAAAUACAAAAAUGGGAGGAAAGGAUCAGUUUAUGCAAAAUGAUGGGAAAGAAUGGCCCAUGAAAUUUUGUACCUUGCAUCUCAUAUAUUGUAGCAUUCUGAGGGUGAGAACUGAGAAUCCUGGCCAGUUAGUUGUAAAUGGACAUCAGAUGACAUACAUAGAUUCCAGGAGUCCAUUCAAACUACAGAAUAUAGGCAUUAUUAUCCCACUAUAACUUCCAUGGUUCCAUUCUUUGGCAUCCUGCCUAAAUUUUUUUUUUAAAGGCCUUAGUUUCAACUCUUGGGGCAUAGUUUUAUAGCCUCCAUAUAGCCCUUUAUCACUAUGGUAUGCUUCCACUUUAAUGAACAUGCCAACAUCCUAUGGAAUUCUGGGAUUUGCAGUUUGGGGAGGAGUAUUUGGAAUAUUCAAUCAAAGAACUCUUGUAACUCAGCAAACCAUAAGUCCCAGUAUUCUAUAGAAUGGUACCAUGGCAUUUUUCCACCCACCAUGACUGAAUGUGUGCCUCUCAUAGCUCCAUGCCAAAUAGAAAUUCAACAGAUGUGGUGUUGCUUGCCUUGGCCUGAGAAAAGCAGUAAUGGUGGAAAGUUACACCUGAUGAAUUUCAUCCUCUACUAUAGCAUUUAGAAGACAGAUUGCCUUCUCUGGAAAACCUUAAUUAUUCAUAAGGAACUUGCUCCACCAGCAACAAAUACUAUUUUUAAAUAUCACAACUACACAGAGCUAUGUCAAAUUAAUUGAAAUUCAUGGGUUUGCUCAUGUGGUUGAAAUACCGUCCUCUAAGGCAGAUGUUUAGCAGAUGAUAUGUCUUUUUGUUCACCAGGCAGCUGUUAACAGCACAGGGACACUGCCAGAAAAAAAGUUGGCACUCUCAGUUACUCAACAAUAUAGACUGGAAAAUGAGUUCCUCUCUGAAAUCUAUUUUCUGCAACAGACUGUUCCAUAUUGCUUCACAACUACUCCAUCGACAUCCAGAUAGAUUGCCACAAAAGAGCUGCAUGGGUUUUUGUGUCCAGAAAUCUUCAGUUAGAUAUAUUCACCUUAGACAUUGCAAGUGUCCGGUUUUAGCAGCCUAAUAUGUAACGGUUCAUGGGGAGCAGAGUCAGUAUAAUACCUAAUAACUAAUAUUCAGGAGCUUGCGCUGUGUUUGAAUUACAUCUAUUACCUUUAGCAAACACAGUUCCUUGUGGAGUUGAUCAAAUUUUAAAAUUUAUGGAAGACCUCAACAUUUCUCUGGAGACUUCAUGAACAUUAUUAUAGAAGCAUCUGAAUAUAAACCACACCCUUCUCAAUUACUCAUGAACACACAAACAUGCAGCUAGCAUUUCAAUCUUACUGUUUGCUUCCCACUUCUAUAAAGCUCCGUGCUUUCUGUUAUAAAUCGUCCAUUGUUUCAAGGUAAAUAUCACCUUCAUUUUCAAUAUCGGUCUCAGAUAAACACAGAGGCAGAUCAAAGGUUUGAUCCACACAGAAGAUAUUAAACAUGCAAGUAAAACAGGGUCAAAAUAGUGUUAGGCUCUAUAUGAUUGUGCUGAUAAGUGUUCCUUAUUCCCUGUCACUCAUUUCUGGUCAAUUAAAGCAAAGGAUAGUAAAUUCACUCCAAUUAAGAUAACACCUGGUAUGUGCAACACUGUGAGAAUCAGUUUGUUCAGCACAGAAUGAAGCCUCAUAGUGCAGCAGUAAAAAAAAUCAUGUUUGUAUCAUCGCCCAGUCCAAAGAGUAAAGGUACUUUGUGUCCAUCCUCACUCUUACAAUUCAUCAGAUAUGUCAGGUUAGGAGGGAUAUUAUUUGUAAUAUAUGGGAAUGUAAAAUGAUCCAAUUAAUUAUAAGUAGCACUAUGUGACUCCUUAUAACAUUAUGCAAUCAUGGGAUUCUGCAUUUGGACUCAGAAUUUAGCAUCCUGGCAAACUCAAUUUCAUUCUUUUUUCCAGUGAAAAGAUAGGCUUGAAUAUGGAAAAAGGCAUCACAAAACCUCCACUGGAGAAAUGGUUAAACAGAAGUGUAGAGCUUCCUCAUGACAAGCCAAAACUGAAUAAAUUAUGCAAGCAUGCAAAUCCACUUCAUUUACAUAACUUGCCCCAUUUAUUAGCACAGACCUUGGGCUACAGAAUAAGUGUGUAUCUACACUGCAGAUUUAAUGCUGUUUGAAAUCACAUUAACUGCCAUGGCUGAAUGCUAUGAAAUUAUAGGAGUUGGCAGAGAAGACUAAAGACCUUAAUAAAAUUACUGUUCUCAUGAUUCCAUAGCAUUCAGCCAUGGCAGUUGAAGUGGGGUCAAACUGCAUUUUACAGUGUAGAUGCACUCUGAGAGCCAGUGCUGUUUCGAGCAUUAGACUAUGACUACGGAGGGUUCAAAUCCCCAUUCAGCCAGAUAACCUUUGGUCAAGUCAUACUCUCUCAGCCUCAGGGGAAAGCUAAAGCAAACCCCACUCUGAACAAAUCUUGUUAAGAAAACCUCAUGAUAGGUUUGCCUUA
Long non-coding RNA from Anolis carolinensis (green anole), 23893 nucleotides. RefSeq lists it as uncharacterized. The record is from RefSeq and is a predicted model, not a curated record. Lineage: Eukaryota; Metazoa; Chordata; Lepidosauria; Squamata; Anolidae. The transcript has 3 exons.